This 253-nucleotide ribosomal RNA is filed under the name uncultured bacterium. RNAcentral's name for it is "partial 16S ribosomal RNA". It matches the Rfam family "Bacterial small subunit ribosomal RNA", at positions 524 to 776 of the family's 1533-position model. The record is from RNAcentral.
CACGUAGGAGGCGAGCGUUGUCCGGAAUCAUUGGGCGUAAAGAGCGCGCAGGCGGCUUGGCAAGUCGGGUGUGAAAUCCCGGGGCUCAACCCCGUGACUGCAUCCGAUACUGUCAGGCUAGAGGUAGGUAGGGGAGAUCGGAAUUCCUGGUGUAGCGGUGAAAUGCGCAGAUAUCAGGAGGAACACCGGUGGCGAAGGCGGUUCUCUGGGCAUUACCUGACGCUGAGGAGCGAAAGUGUGGGGAGCGAACAGG